RNAcentral lists this transfer RNA (65 nucleotides) under Euphylidorea dispar. RNAcentral's name for it is "tRNA-Cys". The record is from RNAcentral. Lineage: Eukaryota; Metazoa; Arthropoda; Insecta; Diptera; Limoniidae.
AGCUUUAUAGUCAAUAAAUGAUGUUAGACUGCAAUUCUAAAGUAGUAAUUUAAUUACUAAGGCUU